RNAcentral lists this ribosomal RNA (429 nucleotides) under Chloroflexota bacterium. RNAcentral's name for it is "Chloroflexi bacterium partial 16S ribosomal RNA". It matches the Rfam family "Bacterial small subunit ribosomal RNA", at positions 355 to 776 of the family's 1533-position model. The record is from RNAcentral. Lineage: Bacteria; Bacillati; Chloroflexota.
UAGGGAAUCUUCGGCAAUGGACGAAAGUCUGACCGAGCAACGCCGCGUGAGUGAAGAAGGUUUUCGGAUCGUAAAACUCUGUUGUUAGAGAAGAACAAGGACGUUAGUAACUGAACGUCCCCUGACGGUAUCUAACCAGAAAGCCACGGCUAACUACGUGCCAGCAGCCGCGGUAAUACGUAGGUGGCAAGCGUUGUCCGGAUUUAUUGGGCGUAAAGCGAGCGCAGGCGGUUUCUUAAGUCUGAUGUGAAAGCCCCCGGCUCAACCGGGGAGGGUCAUUGGAAACUGAGAGACUUGAGUGCAGAAGAGGGGAGUGGAAUUCCAUGUGUAGCGGUGAAAUGCGUAGAUAUAUGGCGGAACACCAGUGGCGAAGGCGGCUCUCUGGUCUGUAACUGACGCUGAGGCUCGAAAGCGUGGGGAGCAAACAGG